CAGCCACUGAAUUGAUCAAACACCGCCCUUCUAAGGCGUAGGUCGCACGUUCGAAUCGUGCUGGGCAGGCCA
RNAcentral lists this transfer RNA (72 nucleotides) under Polynucleobacter cosmopolitanus. RNAcentral describes it as "tRNA-Arg". Lineage: Bacteria; Pseudomonadati; Pseudomonadota; Betaproteobacteria; Burkholderiales; Burkholderiaceae. The record is from RNAcentral.